AGUCCUAUAACUCAGUGGUUAGAGUGUCGUUCUUAUAUGGAGAUACUGGGAAACCAGCUUCAUAUGCCGAAGAAAUGCGAAGGUCGUGGGUUCGAAUCCCACUUGGACUA
This is a non-coding RNA of Orbilia ellipsospora, 110 nucleotides long. Lineage: Eukaryota; Fungi; Ascomycota; Orbiliomycetes; Orbiliales; Orbiliaceae. The record is from the annotation of a GenBank genome assembly.